This 747-nucleotide ribosomal RNA is filed under the name uncultured bacterium. RNAcentral describes it as "bacterial SSU rRNA". It matches the Rfam family "Bacterial small subunit ribosomal RNA", at positions 8 to 796 of the family's 1533-position model. The record is from RNAcentral.
AGAGUUUGAUCCUGGCUCAGAUUGAACGCUGGCGGCAUGGCUAAAACAUGCAAGUCGAACGAGAACCUCGCAAGAGGGGACAGUGGCGGAAGGGUCAGUAAUGAGAUCGAAUGUACCCCGAGGUGGAGGAUAGCGCCGGGAAACCGACGGUAAUACUCCAUGUCCUCUUCGGAGAAAAGAUUUAUCGCCUUGGGAGCAGCGAUCUUCCUAUCAGGUAGUUGGCGGGGUAAAAGCCCACCAAGCCGAAGACGGGUAGCGGGUGUGAGAGCACGGCCCGCGACAUCGAGACUGAGACACUGCUCGGACUCCUACGGGAGGCUGCAGUAACGAAUAUUCCGCAAUGGGCGAAAGCCUGACGGAGCAAUGCCGCGUGCAGGAUGAAGCGGUUUCGCCGUGUAAACUGCUGUCAGGGGCAAGAAAUACUGAUCUGCCUCAGAGGAAGAGCCGGCUAACCCUGUGCCAGCAGCCGCGGUAAGACAGGGGGCUCGAGCGUUAAUCGGAAUCACUGGGCUUAAAGGGUGCGUAGGCGGGUCGGUAAGCAUCCCGUGAAAUCCCCCGGCUCAACCGGGGAACCGCGGGAUGGACUGCCGAUCUUGAGGAAGCUAGAGGCGGGUAGAACGAUAGGUGGAGCGGUGGAAUGCGUAGAUAUCUAUCGGAAUGCCGAAAGUGAAGACAGCCGCUGGGGCUUUCCUGACGCUAAAGCACGAAAGCGUGGGGAGCAAACCGGAUUAGAUACCCUAGUAGUCC